CUAUACAUACAGUCGAGCGGACAGAAGGGAGCUUGCUCCCGGAUGUUAGCGGCGGACGGGUGAGUAACACGCUGGGUAACCUGCCUGUAAGACUGGGAUAACUCCGGGAAACCGGAGCUAAUACCGGAUAGUUCCUUGAACCGCAUGGUUCAAGGAUGAAAGACGGUUUCGGAUGUCACUUACAGAUGGACCCGCGGCGCAUUAGCUAGUUGGUGAGGUAACGGCUCACCAAGGCGACGAUGCGUAGCCGACCUGAGAGGGUGAUCGGCCACACUGGGACUGAGACACGGCCCAGACUCCUACGGGAGGCAGCAGUAGGGAAUCUUCCGCAAUGGACGAAAGUCUGACGGAGCAACGCCGCGUGAGUGAUGAAGGUUUUCGGAUCGUAAAGCUCUGUUGUUAGGGAAGAACAAGUGCAAGAGUAACUGCUUGCACCUUGACGGUACCUAACCAGAAAGCCACGGCUAACUACGUGCCAGCAGCCGCGGUAAUACGUAGGUGGCAAGCGUUGUCCGGAAUUAUUGGGCGUAAAGGGCUCGCAGGCGGUUUCUUAAGUCUGAUGUGAAAGCCCCCGGCUCAACCGGGGAGGGUCAUUGGAAACUGGGAAACUUGAGUGCAGAAGAGGAGAGUGGAAUUCCAC
RNAcentral lists this ribosomal RNA (640 nucleotides) under bacterium Ri.J25A. RNAcentral describes it as "bacterial SSU rRNA". It matches the Rfam family "Bacterial small subunit ribosomal RNA", at positions 49 to 672 of the family's 1533-position model. The record is from RNAcentral.